Molecule: ribosomal RNA, 253 nt
Filed under: uncultured bacterium
Lineage: Bacteria
Description: partial 16S ribosomal RNA
Rfam family: Bacterial small subunit ribosomal RNA
Source: RNAcentral
UACGGAGGGUGCAAGCGUUAUCCGGAUUUACUGGGCGUACAGGGAGCGUAGGCGGUUGGAUAAGCCCUCCGUGAAAUCUCCAGGCUUAACCUGGAAAGUGCAGAGGGGACUGUUCAGCUAGAGGAUGGGAGAGGAGCGCGGAAUUCCCGGUGUAGCGGUGAAAUGCGUAGAGAUCGGGAGGAAGGCCGGUGGCGAAGGCAGCCUCCUGGGCCAACACUGACGCUCAUGCACGAAAGCGUGGGGAGCGAACAGG